RNAcentral lists this ribosomal RNA (448 nucleotides) under uncultured bacterium. Its description in RNAcentral is "bacterial SSU rRNA". It matches the Rfam family "Bacterial small subunit ribosomal RNA", at positions 330 to 793 of the family's 1533-position model. The record is from RNAcentral.
UCCAGACUCCUACGGGAGGCAGCAGUGGGGGAUAUUGCACAAUGGGGGAAACCCUGAUGCAGCGACGCCGCGUGAGUGAAGAAGUAUUUCGGUAUGUAAAGCUCUAUCAGCAGGGAAGAAAAAAGACGGUACCUGACUAAGAAGCCCCGGCUAACUACGUGCCAGCAGCCGCGGUAAUACGUAGGGGGCAAGCGUUAUCCGGAUUUACUGGGUGUAAAGGGAGCGUAGACGGCAAUACAAGUCGGAAGUGAAAUACCCGGGCUCAACCUGGGAACUGCUUUGGAAACUGUAUGGCUGGAGUGCUGGAGAGGUAAGCGGAAUUCCUAGUGUAGCGGUGAAAUGCGUAGAUAUUAGGAGGAACACCAGUGGCGAAGGCGGCUUACUGGACAGUAACUGACGUUGAGGCUCGAAAGCGUGGGGAGCAAACAGGAUUAGAUACCCCUGUAAG